GAGGGUGAAAGCGGGGGAUCGCAAGACCUCGCGCGACAGGAGCGGCCGAUGGCGGAUUAGCUAGUUGGUGAGGUAAAGGCUCACCAAGGCGACGAUCCGUAGCUGGUCUGAGAGGACGACCAGCCACACUGGGACUGAGACACGGCCCAGACUCCUACGGGAGGCAGCAGUGGGGAAUUUUGGACAAUGGGCGCAAGCCUGAUCCAGCCAUUCCGCGUGAGUGAAGAAGGCCUUCGGGUUGUAAAGCUCUUUCGGCAGGAACGAAACGGUGCAGGCUAAUAUCCUGUAUCAAUGACGGUACCUGAAGAAGAAGCACCGGCUAACUACGUGCCAGCAGCCGCGGUAAUACGUAGGGUGCGAGCGUUAAUCGGAAUUACUGGGCGUAAAGCGUGCGCAGGCGGCUUUGUAAGACAGGUGUGAAAUCCCCGGGCUUAACCUGGGAACUGCGCUUGUGACUGCAAGGCUUGAGUGUGGCAGAGGGGGGUGGAAUUCCACGUGUAGCAGUGAAAUGCGUAGAGAUGUGGAGGAACACCGAUGGCGAAGGCAGCCCCCUGGGUCAACACUGACGCUCAUGCACGAAAGCGUGGGUAGCAAACAGGAUUAGAUACCCUGGUAGUCCACGCCCUAAACGAUGCCAACUAGGUGUUGGGGAAGGAGACUUCCUUAGUACCGUAGCUAA
RNAcentral lists this ribosomal RNA (679 nucleotides) under uncultured beta proteobacterium. RNAcentral describes it as "bacterial SSU rRNA". It matches the Rfam family "Bacterial small subunit ribosomal RNA", at positions 196 to 855 of the family's 1533-position model. Lineage: Bacteria; Pseudomonadati; Pseudomonadota; Betaproteobacteria. The record is from RNAcentral.